Molecule: ribosomal RNA, 497 nt
Filed under: uncultured bacterium
Lineage: Bacteria
Description: partial 16S ribosomal RNA
Rfam family: Bacterial small subunit ribosomal RNA
Source: RNAcentral
GAUGAACGCUGGCGGCGUGCCUAAUACAUGCAAGUAGAACGCUGAAGGAAGGAGCUUGCUCUUUCCGGAUGAGUUGCGAACGGGUGAGUAACGCGUAGGUAACCUGCCUGGUAGCGGGGGAUAACUAUUGGAAACGAUAGCUAAUACCGCAUAACAGUAGAUGUUGCAUGAUAUCUACUUAAAAGGUGCAAUUGCACCACUACCAGAUGGACCUGCGUUGUAUUAGCUAGUUGGUGAGGUAACGGCUCGCCAAGGCGACGAUACAUAGCCGACCUGAGAGGGUGAUCGGCCACACUGGGAAUGAGACACGGCCCAGACUCCUACGGGAGGCAGCAGUAGGGAAUCUUCGGCAAUGGACGGAAGUCUGACCGAGCAACGCCGCGUGAGUGAAGAAGGUUUUCGGAUCGUAAAGCUCUGUUGUAAGAGAAGAACGAGUGUGAGAGUGGAAAGUUCACACUGUGACGGUAUCUUACCAGAAAGGGACGGCUAACUACGUG